AGAAUGUCUGUUGACACUCAGGGAACAUUUUCUGAACUUGUCCUUGUAACAUGGUGCCAGGCACUACAGAAAAUCUGAGCCAAAAAAAGCCCUGGAUCUGAGCUCUUCUGAAAUCCUGUGUAAUAUAGCACAUGAGAAAAGAAUACUCGGAUAUGAAUCAGAAGACUUCUAUGCCUGUCUCAAUUUUGCCAUUCUCUAACUCAGAAGUUAGUAACCAUUUUUGGUGAAGGUGAGCAUCCCCAGAGAAUGAGAUGGAAGGGGCAUAACCUUUUUGGACCUAAGCUGGGAAGUCUAUACAAGUCACAACUUUCCCAGAUUCAAGUGGA
This is a long non-coding RNA of Myotis brandtii (Brandt's bat), 326 nucleotides long. RefSeq lists it as uncharacterized. The record is from RefSeq and is a predicted model, not a curated record. The transcript has 4 exons. NCBI's taxonomy places the organism in Eukaryota, Metazoa, Chordata, Mammalia, Chiroptera, Vespertilionidae.